Molecule: ribosomal RNA, 253 nt
Filed under: uncultured Eubacteriales bacterium
Lineage: Bacteria; Bacillati; Bacillota; Clostridia; Eubacteriales
Description: uncultured Clostridiales bacterium partial 16S ribosomal RNA
Rfam family: Bacterial small subunit ribosomal RNA
Source: RNAcentral
UACGUAGGUGGCGAGCGUUAUCCGGAAUGAUUGGGCGUAAAGGGAGCGUAGGCGGCUUAGUAAGUCAGAAGUGAAAGCCCUCAGCUCAACUGCGGGACUGCUUUUGAAACUGCCAGGCUAGAGUGUCGGAGAGGUAAGUGGAAUUCCUAGUGUAGCGGUGAAAUGCGUAGAUAUUAGGAGGAACACCAGUGGCGAAGGCGGCCUGCUGGACUGUAACUGACGUUGAGGCUCGAAAGCGUGGGGAGCAAACAGG